RNAcentral lists this non-coding RNA (26 nucleotides) under Rattus norvegicus (Norway rat). The record is from RNAcentral. Lineage: Eukaryota; Metazoa; Chordata; Mammalia; Rodentia; Muridae.
UGAGUAAUUCAGAAGUUGGUUGUGGA